Molecule: ribosomal RNA, 492 nt
Filed under: uncultured bacterium
Lineage: Bacteria
Description: partial 16S ribosomal RNA
Rfam family: Bacterial small subunit ribosomal RNA
Source: RNAcentral
AGUGAACGCUGGCGGUAGGCCUAACACAUGCAAGUCGAACGGCAGCACAGUAAGAGCUUGCUCUUACGGGUGGCGAGUGGCGGACGGGUGAGGAAUACAUCGGAAUCUACUUUUUCGUGGGGGAUAACGUAGGGAAACUUACGCUAAUACCGCAUACGACCUACGGGUGAAAGCAGGGGAUCUUCGGACCUUGCGCGAUUGAAUGAGCCGAUGUCGGAUUAGCUAGUUGGCGGGGUAAAGGCCCACCAAGGCGACGAUCCGUAGCUGGUCUGAGAGGAUGAUCAGCCACACUGGAACUGAGACACGGUCCAGACUCCUACGGGAGGCAGCAGUGGGGAAUAUUGGACAAUGGGCGCAAGGCUGAUCCAGCCAUACCGCGUGGGUGAAGAAGGCCUUCGGGUUGGAAAGCCCUUUUGUUGGGAAAGAAAAGCAGCAGGUUAAUACCCCGCUGUUCUGACGGUACCCAAAGAAUAAGCACCGGCUAACUUCGUG